RNAcentral lists this ribosomal RNA (229 nucleotides) under uncultured eukaryote. Its description in RNAcentral is "partial 18S ribosomal RNA". It matches the Rfam family "Eukaryotic small subunit ribosomal RNA", at positions 1208 to 1456 of the family's 1831-position model. The record is from RNAcentral.
GGAAAACUUACCAGGUCCAGAGAUGUAGAGGAUUGACAGAUUGAAGCUCUUUCUUGAUCACUUCGGUGGUGGUGCAUGGCCGUUCUUAGUUGGUGGAGUGAUUUGUCUGGUUAAUUCCGUUAACGAACGAGACCUCAGCCUGCUUUUGUAGUUAUGGCUAUCUUUUGCUAGUUUUGUAACUUCUUAGAGGGACAAUCGGUUUUUCGCCGAUGGAAGUUUGAGGCAAUAA